CAACAAGUAGUUUAUACACUAAAGAAUAUUAAUUUUGGGUAUUAAAGGUAUAGGGAUUCCUAUUUUGUUGA
This 71-nucleotide transfer RNA is filed under the name Nesophrosyne ogradyi. Its description in RNAcentral is "tRNA-Pro". Lineage: Eukaryota; Metazoa; Arthropoda; Insecta; Hemiptera; Cicadellidae. The record is from RNAcentral.